AGUGAACGCUGGCGGUAGGCCUAACACAUGCAAGUCGAACGGCAGCACAGUAAGAGCUUGCUCUUACGGGUGGCGAGUGGCGGACGGGUGAGGAAUACAUCGGAAUCUACUUUUUCGUGGGGGAUAACGUAGGGAAACUUACGCUAAUACCGCAUACGACCUACGGGUGAAAGCAGGGGAUCUUCGGACCCUGCGCGAUUGAAUGAGCCGAUGUCGGAUUAGCUAGUUGGCGGGGUAAAGGCCCACCGAGGCGACGAUCCGUAGCUGGUCUGAGAGGAUGAUCAGCCACACUGGAACUGAGACACGGUCCAGACUCCUACGGGAGGCAGCAGUGGGGAAUAUUGGACAAUGGGCGCAAGCCUGAUCCAGCCAUACCGCGUGGGUGAAGAAGGCCUUCGGGUUGUAAAGCCCUUUUGUUGGGAAAGAAAAGCAGCAGGUUAAUACCCCGCUGUUCUGACGGUACCCAAAGAAUAAGCACCGGUUAACUUCGUG
This 492-nucleotide ribosomal RNA is filed under the name uncultured bacterium. RNAcentral describes it as "partial 16S ribosomal RNA". It matches the Rfam family "Bacterial small subunit ribosomal RNA", at positions 29 to 507 of the family's 1533-position model. The record is from RNAcentral.